This 267-nucleotide ribosomal RNA is filed under the name uncultured bacterium. Its description in RNAcentral is "partial 16S ribosomal RNA". It matches the Rfam family "Bacterial small subunit ribosomal RNA", at positions 57 to 305 of the family's 1533-position model. The record is from RNAcentral.
GCAAGUCGAACGGAAACAGGACGCUAGGAUUACUUCGGGAUGACUUUGUCGCUGUCGAGUGGCGGACGGGUGUGUAAUGCGUAGAAAUUUGCCUUGAAGUGGGGGAUAGCCCGGAGACAUCCGGAUUAAUACCGCAUGCGCUCUACGGAGCAAAGCGGGCCUCUUCUUGAAAGCUCGCGCUUUGAGAUAAGUCUACGUCGGAUUAGCUAGUUGGUAGGGUAAAGGCCUACCAAGGCGACGAUCCGUAGCUGGUUUGAGAGAACGACC